AGAGAGAGACAUGCGCGCAUAUCAAUAAGCGGAGGAAAAGAAACUAACAAGGAUUCCCCUAGUAACGGCGAGUGAAGCGGGAAGAGCUCAAAUUUGAAAUCUUAAAGGGUUUCCCUUUACGAAUUGUAGUUUAAAGAAGUGUUUUCUGUUGAGGUUUUGGUAAAAGUUCUUUGGAAUAGGACAUCAUAGAGGGUGAGAAUCCCGUAUUUGACCUUUACUUUCAACUUUGUGAUACACUUUCAAAGAGUCGGAUUGUUUGGGAAUGCAGUCCAAAAUGGGUGGUAAAUUUCAUCUAAAGCUAAAUAUUGGCGAGAGACCGAUAGCGAACAAGUACCGUGAGGGAAAGAUGAAAAGAACUUUGAAAAGAGAGUUAAACAGUACGUGAAAUUGUCAGAAGGGAAGCGUUUGACACCAGUGUUGUUUUUCUGAAAAUCAAUUAAAGAACUGUUUAUGCUAAGUUGUUUAGACUUUAUCAGCUAACUGUUUAGUUUUGAGCUUUUCUUUAAUGCACUUUUCAGUUAACAAGUCAACAUCAAUUUCUUUUGCUGUAAAAAAGCUUGAGGAAGGUGGCUUGAGAUUCGUCUUAAGUGUUUAUAGCCUCUUGCCUAUGCAGUCGGAGAGAUUGAGGUCUGCAGCGUAGAUCCUUCGGGGCUAAAUGCAUUUGUGCUAAGUUAUAGCAUUUUAUAGACAACUUGUUGACUAUGAUUUGUCUUGUAGCUUACUCGCUUAUGUUAUUUUACCUACGCUUAGGAUGUUGAGCGCAUGUCUCUCUCU
RNAcentral lists this ribosomal RNA (774 nucleotides) under uncultured Neocallimastigales. RNAcentral's name for it is "partial large subunit ribosomal RNA". It matches the Rfam family "Eukaryotic large subunit ribosomal RNA", at positions 23 to 616 of the family's 3401-position model. Lineage: Eukaryota; Fungi; Neocallimastigomycota; Neocallimastigomycetes; Neocallimastigales. The record is from RNAcentral.